RNAcentral lists this ribosomal RNA (889 nucleotides) under uncultured archaeon. RNAcentral's name for it is "bacterial SSU rRNA". It matches the Rfam family "Archaeal small subunit ribosomal RNA", at positions 23 to 919 of the family's 1478-position model. The record is from RNAcentral.
CUGACUGCUAUCGGAUUGAUACUAAGCCAUGCGAGUCAUUGUAGCAAUACAAGGCAGACGGCUCAGUAACGCGUAGUCAAUCUACCCUAUGGACGGGAAUAACCUCGGGAAACUGAGAAUAAUGCCCGAUAGAACAUUAUGCCUGGAAUGGUUUAUGUUUCAAAUGAUUUAUCGCCAUAGGAUGGGACUGCGGCCUAUCAGUUUGUUGGUGAGGUAAUGGCCCACCAAGACUAUUACAGGUACGGGCUCUGAGAGGAGUAGCCCGGAGAUGGGUACUGAGACACGGACCCAGGCCCUAUGGGGCGCAGCAGGCGAGAAAACUUUGCAAUGUGCGAAAGCACGACAAGGUUAAUCCGAGUGGUUUCUGCUAAAGAAACCUUUUGUCAGUCCUAGAAACACUAACGAAUAAGGGGUGGGCAAGUUCUGGUGUCAGCCGCCGCGGUAAAACCAGCACCUCAAGUGGUCAGGAUGAUUAUUGGGCCUAAAGCGUCCGUAGCCCGUUUUGUAAGUUUUCGGUUAAAUCCAUGCGCUUAACGUAUGGGCUGCCGGGAAUACUGCAUAACUAGGAAGUGGGAGAGGUAGACGGUACUCGGUAGGAAGGGGUAAAAUCCUUUGAUCUAUUGAUGACCACCUGUGGCGAAGGCGGUCUACCAGAACACGUUCGACGGUGAGGGAUGAAAGCUGGGGGAGCAAACCGGAUUAGAUACCCGGGUAGUCCCAGCUGUAAACUAUGCAAACUCAGUGAUGCAUUGGCUUGUGGCCAAUGCAGUGCUGCAGGGAAGCCGUUAAGUUUGCCGCCUGGGAAGUACGUACGCAAGUAUGAAACUUAAAGGAAUUGGCGGGGGAGCACCACAAGGGGUGAAGCCUGCGGUUCAAUUGGAUCAACGCC